UCCUUACCCUUGGGAAGUGAGCACGCGCAGUGCGUUUAGGAAGUUGUACGCAUACCCAACUGAAGCUUUCUUCCCUUCUCCAAUGGAGUGCACCUGUGCACAGAAACUCUCUCUGUACCACGUACCUGCUGCCAGAAGCUGGGAAGGAGUGGUGCUGGUGAUUCAAAACUGAUUUUCCUGCCUCUUCGAUGCCUCUUUUAGUGACAUACAGUUAAGACCAGGCACUCAUGAUUUUGCCUUGGAGGGGAUAUCAACAGGAAAUAGUUCCUGUAUCAUCAACAGAACAAGCAGCUGGACUGAGGAAACAAAAACACAAAGUCCAAAAUAGUGAUAUUGGCAGGGUAGACAUUACACGCAGGAUACCGGAAGGCCAGUCAGACCAUGAGGGCUUGUGCUGCAACCCCUAAGACAGCUGUGCUUUUUAUGAACUUCUAAGAGUUGACCAACUUUAGUCACAGUUGGAGUUAUUAAAGGCUGAGGACAGAAGACAUAGACUCUCUCCAAAGUGGGCAUUUGCAGUGUGGAAUUAGAGAAAAGAGAAGAAAAAGCCAUUACAGGGGGAAAAUAACGAGAAAAAGAGAGAGCGACCAGGAGAAGAUAUUGAAAAAGCACUGAAGCUCAAGCACAGAUUUACUAGGUCAGAAGGAAACUACUUGCUCAAAAGGAGACCAGAGGAAUGAAAACGUGGUAUAACCAGGAGUUGCGAAGUGGACGUAGUUGUUUCUGUCUCAAUCUAGAUCAUCUUUGCUUUUUGCUUCUGCUUUGUGCUAUCCCUCUUCCCGUACCUCAAUUCUAGCUGGAACCAUGGUCUGUGACUGCCAUGGAAAAGUGUUGGGCAGGAGGAGGCCAGCUGGGUCUUUGAAGUUGACAACGGAGCCAGGAAGGAAAGCUGCACUUAGGAUAAGAAUUGCUUUCCCUGGAGCUAAGUCAGCAAAUGCAGUCUGGUUGUCAG
Molecule: long non-coding RNA, 952 nt
Organism: Gorilla gorilla gorilla (western lowland gorilla)
Lineage: Eukaryota; Metazoa; Chordata; Mammalia; Primates; Hominidae
Exons: 8
Source: RefSeq, a predicted model, not a curated record